AGAGGGUUACCGGACAUGACCGUGUUGUACUCAUAACCCAAAGGUCGCUGGUUCAAAUCCAGCCCCCGCAACCA
RNAcentral lists this transfer RNA (74 nucleotides) under Candidatus Rokuibacteriota bacterium. Its description in RNAcentral is "Candidatus Rokubacteria bacterium tRNA-Met". Lineage: Bacteria; Candidatus Rokuibacteriota. The record is from RNAcentral.